GGGGGCGAGGGGAAGGGGAGCUGGGAAGGGCGGAGGGGGCGAGCGAGACCCCGAGCGGAGAGAAAGGCCCGCGGAGACAGACCGAGACCGAGCGCGGCCGGCCGGGCGGGCCUGACGCACGGGGAAGGCCGAGGCCGCCGGGCGGGGCGGCCGCGAGGGACGGAGGCAGGAGACGGGCAGAGCGAGGGGAAGAAAGAAAGGGCGUCCGCCCGCCCGGGGAUCCCGAGGCGAAGCGCGGCGUCGGCGGGGAAACACUACUUGGAAUCCAUCUUGUCCUAACAAGAAGCUUUAUCCUAAAAUCAGCAACUCUCAUGAACACAAGAUGGUUACCUACAACAGCUCCAAAAAGUACAUGUUCCCUCAUCCACAUCUAGAGAGAAUGAAUUAGUCCCAGCAGCCCCACAAGUAUCCUGAUAUUCACUUGCUUGAAUCACAUGCCUGCCCUGGAACCAAAAGUCGUGCACGGGAAGAUGGAAUGUGAUGGUUGGUUUCAACUAACCAGGCAGUGGGUCAGCUUCCCUGGAAGCACCUGGGCUGCAUGGGGAGAGGCAGAUUCCUCAAAUGACAAUCAAGAGACUGUGGAAGAGAGAAAGCAGAGCUUAAGACACUAAGGAGACUACCAACAAAAGUCCAUUUUGUAGCUAUUAUUAUUGGCUUUCUUGGCUCUUAGCCCUUGGCUCUUGGCUAUUCCUUUGGAAAUCAUUUAAAAAAAAAAAAAACAAGAUCUUAUUUUGAGUAAGUGUUUUCUUUCUAGCAAAGGAAGAUCAAUAAGUAUAAAGGUAAGUUUAAUGUAACGGCCAUUAGGCAUCUGGAACACCAGCCAAACAAGCAGCAAAAUGCAUUGAAUAAAGAUGUUUAUCAGGAACA
Molecule: long non-coding RNA, 867 nt
Filed under: Vulpes vulpes (red fox)
Lineage: Eukaryota; Metazoa; Chordata; Mammalia; Carnivora; Canidae
Description: lncRNA (ENSVVUG00000005681.1)
Source: RNAcentral